RNAcentral lists this small RNA (447 nucleotides) under Pongo abelii (Sumatran orangutan). RNAcentral describes it as "processed transcript". The record is from RNAcentral. Lineage: Eukaryota; Metazoa; Chordata; Mammalia; Primates; Hominidae.
CCUCGCCCGUACCCCGGCGUCACGUUCAGGGGUGGCAGGACCCACUCCCCCAGCCCAGCUGCUGGCCUAUGAGAGUAGGGAGUUUGAUGACAUCCUCCAGUGGGACUUCACUGAGGACUUCUUCAACCUGACGCUCAAGGAGCUGCACCUGCAGCGCUGGGUGAUGGCUGCCUGCCCCCAGGCCCAUUUCAUGCUAAAGGGAGAUGACGAUGUCUUUGUCCACGUCCCCAACGUGUUAGAGUUCCUGGAUGGCUGGGACCCGGCCCAGGACCUCCUGGUGGGAGAUGUCAUCCGCCAAGCCCUGCCCAACAGGAACACUAAGGUCAAAUACUUCAUCCCACCCUCAAUGUACAGAGCCACCCACUACCCACCCUAUGCUGGUGGGGGAGGGUAUGUCAUGUCCAGAGCCACGGUGCAGCGCCUCCAGGCUAUCAUGGAAGAGGCUGA